This 465-nucleotide ribosomal RNA is filed under the name uncultured bacterium. Its description in RNAcentral is "partial 16S ribosomal RNA". It matches the Rfam family "Bacterial small subunit ribosomal RNA", at positions 28 to 507 of the family's 1533-position model. The record is from RNAcentral.
GACGAACGCUGGCGGCGUGCUUAACACAUGCAAGUCGAACGGAAAGGCCCCUUUGGGGGUGCUCGAGUGGCGAACGGGUGAGUAACACGUGAGUAACCUGCCCUUGACUUCGGGAUAACUUCAGGAAACUGGGGCUAAUACCGGAUAGGAAUCCUUGCUGCAUGGUGGGGGUUGGAAAGCUUCGGCGGUUUUGGAUGGACGCGCGGCUUAUCAGCUUGUUGGUGGGGUAGUGGCUUACCAAGGCUUUGACGGGUAGCCGGCCUGAGAGGGCGACCGGCCACAUUGGGACUGAGAUACGGCCCAGACUCCUACGGGAGGCAGCAGUGGGGAAGAUUGCACAAUGGGCGGAAGCCUGAUGCAGCAACGCCGCGGGCGGGAUGACGGCCUUCGGGUUGGAAAACGCUUUCAGCAGGGGCGAAGCUUGUGGUGACGGUACCUGCAGAAGAAGCACCGGCUAACUACGUG